RNAcentral lists this transfer RNA (88 nucleotides) under Sutterella megalosphaeroides. RNAcentral describes it as "tRNA-Ser". It matches the Rfam family "tRNA". From Rfam's summary of the family: Transfer RNA (tRNA) molecules are approximately 80 nucleotides in length. Their secondary structure includes four short double-helical elements and three loops (D, anti-codon, and T loops). Lineage: Bacteria; Pseudomonadati; Pseudomonadota; Betaproteobacteria; Burkholderiales; Sutterellaceae. The record is from RNAcentral.
GGAGGCGUGGCAGAGCGGUUGAAUGCACCGGUCUUGAAAACCGGCAACUCGCAAGGGUUCAUGAGUUCGAAUCUCAUCGCCUCCGCCA